This is a long non-coding RNA of Apodemus sylvaticus (European woodmouse), 745 nucleotides long. RefSeq lists it as uncharacterized. The record is from RefSeq and is a predicted model, not a curated record. The transcript is spliced from 3 exons. NCBI's taxonomy places the organism in Eukaryota, Metazoa, Chordata, Mammalia, Rodentia, Muridae.
ACUGCCAGGAGUCCUAAGGCCUGGAGGGAGGAGGUGGAUGAGAGAGACCCUGAGAUGAGAAGGGUCUUCAGCAGCUAUUCGGGAGGCAGCAGUGAGGAGAAGAAAGGAAGGCUCGAGCACUGAAAACCAACAGAAACACAGAUUAAUUACAGUAGAAUUUACUGGGAUCCAAAGAGAAGCAAAUUUCUGAAGUUAUGAACUAGAGGACUCAACUCUUGCAUCCAUCAUAUUGUAAAGACAUCUAAUGAGGACAUCAAUGCAUCAUUACUAGUGAUGGGAAAUGGCUGUGCUAAGGAAUAUAUACCUAUGAUAUUCAGUCUGACAGACUUACCCUCCAGAGCGUGUCACCAAGUGAUGAAUUGUGCCAGAAUUGUAUCCUGGAAUCUCUUCAUUUCUUUUCACCCGUGAAGCAGUUUUUCUGGAUAUAGAAUAGAUCCCACUGCCUUCCGGUCUUCGUAAUUUCUGACAAGGAAUCUUGUGUUAAUCCUACAGAGUAUUUCCCAAAGAUGAUGAGUUGUUUCCCUGAUUUUUUUUCACUAUUUAAUUUUAAAUUUGUGUGACUGUGUGUGUCCCUGCUUAUGUGUCUAUGCACCAUAUGCAUGCCAGUGACCAUGCAAACCAGAAGAGGACAUUGGAUUCCCUGGCACUGGAGUUGCAAGCCAUUGUGAGCUGCCCAAUGUGGGUGUUUAGAAUGAAACCUAGGUCCUCUACAAGAACAAUAAAUAAACUCUCAGCUUUUGAGAUA